AUGAUUUAUCCUGAAGAAUCCAUUGCAUGAGGGCGAAGUCAAGUAUGAGGAGGAAAAUGAGGAGAAUGGCGAGAGCAGGAGGAAGAGGGCGUCAAAGUCGAUUAAAGCAAGGUCUCUGAAACAUUCUGAGUAGAAACUGAAAUGUGUACUUUGUUUUUUAAUUUUGCGGCAGUUCUUUUUUUGGCUUAAGAUUUUUCACUUUAC
This 204-nucleotide long non-coding RNA is filed under the name Olea europaea (common olive). RNAcentral's name for it is "long non-coding RNA (OEUR_LNC005288)". Lineage: Eukaryota; Viridiplantae; Streptophyta; Magnoliopsida; Lamiales; Oleaceae. The record is from RNAcentral.